AACGAACGCUGGCGGCAUGCCUAACACAUGCAAGUCGAACGAGACCUUCGGGUCUAGUGGCGCACGGGUGCGUAACGCGUGGGAACCUGCCCUUAGGCUCGGAAUAACUCCCCGAAAGGGGUGCUAAUACCGGAUAAUGUCUUCGGACCAAAGAUUUAUCGCCUUUGGAUGGGCCCGCGUUGGAUUAGCUAGUUGGUAGGGUAAAAGCCUACCAAGGCGACGAUCCAUAGCUGGUCUGAGAGGAUGAGCAGCCACACUGGGACUGAGACACGGCCCAGACUCCUACGGGAGGCAGCAGUGGGGAAUAUUGGACUAUGGGCGAAAGGCUGAACCAGCAAGGCCGCGUGAGUGAUGAAGGCCUUAGGGUUGUAAAGCUCUUUUACCCGGGAUGAUAAUGACAGUACCGGGAGAAUAAGCGCCGGCUAACUCCGUG
RNAcentral lists this ribosomal RNA (433 nucleotides) under uncultured bacterium. RNAcentral describes it as "partial 16S ribosomal RNA". It matches the Rfam family "Bacterial small subunit ribosomal RNA", at positions 29 to 507 of the family's 1533-position model. The record is from RNAcentral.